GGAGGUGCAACUGGGUGCGGGGGUCGGGGGACGAUGUGAACCCCAAACGACAGCGAACCCUUUGAGUCGCCUUCGCAUGGCAAAGGCCACGAGUUCGAGUCUCGUCGGGUCCA
This 113-nucleotide transfer RNA is filed under the name Acidimicrobiia bacterium. RNAcentral describes it as "tRNA-Ala". The record is from RNAcentral. Lineage: Bacteria; Bacillati; Actinomycetota; Acidimicrobiia.